This is a long non-coding RNA of Scatophagus argus, 1173 nucleotides long. RefSeq lists it as uncharacterized. The transcript is spliced from 3 exons. The record is from RefSeq and is a predicted model, not a curated record. Lineage: Eukaryota; Metazoa; Chordata; Actinopteri; Scatophagidae.
GAUAUCGCAGGUGACCGACGUCGUUAACGUUUGCUCUGGGUAUGCUAGGUGUAGUUCAUAUCCUUCGAUUAGCAAUUAAAAUAACUACUAGUAAUGUUCUAACGAAAUACCAGACUGUGAAGGGACAAAACUAUUAUUCAACAUUCAAAUUACAGGAGGGAGAGAGUUGGCUAUUUUUUCGGUAUUGCUGUUAUCAGUUACUUUAGCUAGUUUCGUCUGUCUUGCUAGUCAGCAGCAUUGAAGGAUGGGGAGACCUGAGACAGAAAAACAAACACACGUACAUAAUCAUCCUUGUAUUAAGUGCAACGGGAGACUCUCUGACAUGUAAGGAGCACGUUGGCUCCUUAAAGAAAAUGAGAACGGCCUCUUCAAAUAACUUUACAUUCUCAUCUGGGAAUGUCCUCCCAAGAAGCACAACAGCAUCAGUCAUUUCAACAAAUGCCCUGAAAACGACAAGUCUUUGUGGCUGUAAAAGAACUCAGGUGACUUUAUUGUGGAGUGACGAGCACAACGUCAGACUUUAACACAGGGAACUGCUAUUCAGUCUGCAACCCCGCUGCCAAAAAUGGUUCAGUCCUUGGCAGUUGGAACAGCUCAGUCCUGUGGGCAGGAGACGAGGAGCUUACAGUCAUAAGGAGCGUUGACAUCCCUGAUCUCUGCUCUGUCAGGCAUACGUCAUGGCUCUCUGGGCAGAGCCUCACACAAGGGCAUAAGUGUACAGUAUGUACUGUACUGAAUGUGUCUAUGUUUUGGCCUGCAGGACAUAGAGGACAUCGGUUUACUAACAAUAUGUUUCCUAUGUAAUGAUGUUGCAAAAUCAAGGUUUCCCAGUAAUAUUCCAUGCAUAUUUAACUAAUAUAAAGAAACAGCUUAAUGAAACUGUGCAGUGACAUAUUGGUAAGUCAAUAUGGUGAUAGCUUUGGCAUUUCAUUUGUGAUUGUGACAGUGUGACUAACUCCCAUGCUAAUCAGCUUGAUGUGCUAACCUCAGCACAUAUUGGUAACAGCAGGUGGCUGAAAGUUUUGGAGCAGAACUUGUGCUUGUGAACUUUCAGGAUUAUGUGCAUCAGUGUACAUACCAUGUGGAAUGUGGCUGUGUGUACAACGAUCUGCACACUGUGACCGACAAAUAUGAAUGCACAGGCCAUUACAGCCCUGUGAUAUUUCUUUCAUG